GGCUCAGGACGAACGCGGCGGCGUGCUUAUACAUGCAAGUCGAGCCGGACAGAUGGGAGCUUGCUCCCUURAUGUUAGCGGCGGACGGGUGAAGUAACACGUGGGUAACCUGCCUGUAAGACUGGGAUAACUCCGGGAAACCGGGGCUAAUACCGGAUGGUUGUUUGAACCGCAUGGUUCAGACAUAAAAGGUGGCUUCGGCUACCACUUACAGAUGGACCCGCGGCGCAUUAGCUAGUUGGUGAGGUAACGGCUCACCAAGGCGACGAUGCGUAGCCCGACCUGAGAGGGUGAUCGGCCACACUGGGACUGAGACACGGCCCAGACUCCUACGGGAGGCAGCAGUAGGGAAUCUUCCGCAAUGGACGAAAGUCUGACGGAGCAACGCCGCGUGAGUGAAUGAAAGGUUUUCGGAUUCGUAAAGCUNYUGUUGUUAGGGGAAGAAACAAGUGCCGUUCAAAUAGGGCGGCACCUUUGACGGUACCUAACCAGAAAGCCCCGGUAACUACGUGCCACCAGCCGCGGUAAUCCGUAG
Molecule: ribosomal RNA, 535 nt
Filed under: Bacillus velezensis
Lineage: Bacteria; Bacillati; Bacillota; Bacilli; Caryophanales; Bacillaceae
Description: bacterial SSU rRNA
Rfam family: Bacterial small subunit ribosomal RNA
Source: RNAcentral